This 649-nucleotide small RNA is filed under the name Drosophila mojavensis. Its description in RNAcentral is "GI26508". Lineage: Eukaryota; Metazoa; Arthropoda; Insecta; Diptera; Drosophilidae. The record is from RNAcentral.
GAGGACAAUGCAAAUAGCUCUCGCCCUAAGAAUCGUUUACCUAUUUACAUACUUAUGUAUUUAUAGUAACUACAACAACAAAUUGAGCAACAGCCACAGCAGUGUGAAGGACGUUUGCAGUUGGUGCGCGUUUUUUGGCGCCACGCCAAUUUCACAACGCGAAAAAGCGGCAAAUCUCAUAGCAAAAGAACUGGGCGCAUACAUAACAUUUAGAAAGCGCAAAAUAGAUUAUUUAACUUUUUACGUAUUACGCAUCGAAUUCUUGUUUGCGUCACAUUCAAUCGCUCAUUAUCUCACUGCCACCCGCUCUCUUGCUCGCUCGCGUUCUGUCUCUUCCUCUUUCUCUCUCUCUCUCUCUCUCUCUUGCACGCACUCUACCCAACAUCGAAAACACCCCAAAGCAAAGCACCAACAAUAAAGCUGCAAAGGAGGCUCGUCCUUUUAGCCUAUUGUGUGGUUUUCGGAGAUGGGCGGAUGGUUACGCUCUUUGUUUAAAGGUCAUUCGGCGGACAAUCUUUUUGGCGCAACACAAUAACGGAAAAUGCAGACAAAAAGUCAUUUGGCAACAGAAACAACGCAUCUCCUAUGCAAAAGAAAUCAAGCAACAACAUCGGCAGCAGCAGCAGUAACAACAACAACAACAACAACA